GGAGCCAUCCUUGAAAUACCACCCUUUAAUGGCUGGUGUUCUAACGUGGGCCCGUGAACCGGGUUGCGGACAGUGUCUGGUGGGUAGUUUGACUGGGGCGGUCUCCUCCUAAAGAGUAACGGAGGAGCACGAAGGUUGGCUAAUCCUGGUCGGACAUCAGGAGGUUAGUGCAAUGGCAUAAGCCAGCUUGACUGCGAGCGUGACGGCGCGAGCAGGUGCGAAAGCAGGUCAUAGUGAUCCGGUGGUUCUGAAUGGAAGGGCCAUCGCUCAACGGAUAAAAGGUACUCCGGGGAUAACAGGCUGAUACCGCCCAAGAGUUCAUAUCGACGGCGGUGUUUGGCACCUCGAUGUCGGCUCAUCACAUCCUGGGGCUGAAGUAGGUCCCAAGGGUAUGGCUGUUCGCCAUUUAAAGUGGUACGCGAGCUGGGUUUAGAACGUCGUGAGACAGUUCGGUCCCUAUCUGCCGUGGGCGCUGGAAGAUUGAGGGGGGCUGCUCCUAGUACGAGAGGACCGGAGUGGACGCAUCACUGGUGUUCGGGUUGUCAUGCCAAUGGCACUGCCCGGUAGCUACAUGCGGAAGAGAUAAGUGCUGAAAGCAUCUAAGCACGAAACUUGCCCCGAGAUGAAUCUUCCCUGAGCCUUUAAGGCUCCUGAAGGAACGUUGAAGACGACGACGUUGAUAGGCCGGGUGUGUAAGCGCAGCGAUGCGUUGAGCUAACCGGUACUAAUGAACCGUGAGGCUUAACCUU
This 749-nucleotide ribosomal RNA is filed under the name Salmonella enterica. RNAcentral describes it as "partial 23S ribosomal RNA". It matches the Rfam family "Bacterial large subunit ribosomal RNA", at positions 2182 to 2925 of the family's 2925-position model. Lineage: Bacteria; Pseudomonadati; Pseudomonadota; Gammaproteobacteria; Enterobacterales; Enterobacteriaceae. The record is from RNAcentral.